GAAGCCACCAUGAUAGGAGGUGAAGACCUUCGUUUCUGCGUCUGUGUUCGCCGGAAGAGAAAGAGAAAGAGAACAAUCAACGAAGAAGAAAGAGAGAGGCUGAGGCAGUGAAGAAGACAGAAAUGGCGAGGACUCGAGGGAGGAAAGGAAAUGUGAGAGGCUGAGGCGCAGACAAAGAAAGAAGAAAUGAAUUAGGAAAUUGAUUCGGCCGGAUCGGCUUUCCACUAUAUUCGGGUAGGAUAGGUCGGCUCGGACGGUUUCGUCGGGUUCGGCUCAUUUUUUACACCCCUAACUGGAGUUUCAGCCAAGCCACAAAGUUUUUUUCCCCUUAGACACGUCGAGAGGCUAAGAGCAUUAAAGAAAAAAAAAACAGAGAGAAACAAGUUGAGGAAUAAAAAAAAAUCACUCUCUCUAUUGCUUCCACCGAAUACCCUCUUCCUCUCCCUCUCCCUCUGCAUUUUUUUUUUUUCUCUUUUCCUUGAUUCAUCCUUCUUCUCCCACAAAGAGCUGCAGCAUUUCAUUGAAGUAAAGGAUUGAUUUGAGCUAGGGUUCAAACUUGAGGAGAAGAAAGAUUCAACUCAGCCCAGAAUUGAAGAGGAAUUAGAUUUUAAAAGGAAUUUGAUAAAGGCAAGAACAAGGCAAAACAGUGAACAUGAGAGUUGGCUUCGUUGACCGCUGUAUAUAUGGUCGGACCAAAAAAA
Long non-coding RNA from Morus notabilis, 701 nucleotides. RefSeq lists it as uncharacterized. The record is from RefSeq and is a predicted model, not a curated record. The transcript has 3 exons. NCBI's taxonomy places the organism in Eukaryota, Viridiplantae, Streptophyta, Magnoliopsida, Rosales, Moraceae.